This is an RNA transcript of Larimichthys crocea (large yellow croaker), 8908 nucleotides long. RefSeq lists it as uncharacterized. Lineage: Eukaryota; Metazoa; Chordata; Actinopteri; Sciaenidae. The record is from RefSeq and is a predicted model, not a curated record. The transcript has 2 exons.
CCUGUACAAAAAGUCAUAAGGUACAGAGCAUAAAAAGUAACAGUAUAUUAAUAGGUUGUAUUAAAAAGUUCAUAAAUAAAGAGUUCAUAAUAGUUAAGAAUGGUUUAAAAUGUGUGUUGGUUAAAAAGCAUAAAUAUAUGUACAGUUAAUAAAUAAGACUAUUUACAGUUAAAAGAUACAUUCAUAUAAAGGUCUUUAAGUUCAUUUUGAUUGUAAAAUAUCUGUGAUCAGAGAUAAAAGAGAAUAAGAAGCCGUGUUUGUGUAACCUAACCUGUCACUUGUUAUGUCAAUCAUUUCAUUCCUGUUUUACCUUUGGUUAUUUGGGAUCUCACGAGCCAAUUGGAGUCGCUGUGUAAGGGGCGGGACUAGUGGCACAGGUUAGUGUGGGGAGUAGUGCGCACAUGGAAAAGAGAGACGCUAUCGAUCAGAGCUAAAGAGAGGAGGCAUCGUUCGUGUGGGAAGCAUUUAAGUUUAAUCCUGGAGGUCGACUACCCGUGGUCCUGAUAUAAACUUCUGUGUGACCUGCAAGAGGUGAAUAUAAUGUGUAUGCCUGUAUUUUGUGCUAUAUCUAACUGUUAUAGUGAAUAGAGACUGAAUGUAAUGAGUUUAGCGACAUGCUAACUAGCGGUAGCAUUCGGUGCUAAUGUGCCUGCAUAUCGUAGCUUUUGCAUUGUGAUAUUUCUGAAGCUAAAGCUAAGGCUAAUUCGACAUGAAAUAGCAUUGGAUAUUGUGGCUCAAUUCAGAUAUUAUGCUUUAGGGAGACGGACGUUGGAGAGAGAGAGAGAGAGACGGAUUUCCAACCGAUGACCCUGCUGUACUCUGCUGUACUCUGCUGUACUGUGCUGUACUCUGCUGUACUGUGCUGUACGAUACUGUCGUGCUAUUCUGCGUUUGGAUGCGUCGGGCCGAGCCCUGCUGCUGCUGUAUCUUUUCUUGUGACUUCGCCAUUGCCUCGUGUGUGAUCGGAUUCCCACCCGCCAUUUUCAUUAUCACCGUGAGACUUUUUCAUCCACAUUCUGCCCUACUAACAAACCCCUGGAUUCGUGAGUACUAACAUACACAUGCACGUGCUUUUAUUUUGUGCUCAGCUUUGAGUGAAGCGGCCAUUACAGUUUUUAGGCCACACCGCACACGAGCUUCAAUAAACAGGCCUGCAACGGGUUAAAAGCUCUUUUAAGUGGGUUUCAUCUGAAUGUGUGUGGGCCCACAGGUAAAAUAUUGAGUUUGCGUUGUUGUGAAAUAAAGAAUACGGUUUUGAAGGUAACUUAAAGAGUAUAAAAAAAGUUUAUUUUAAGUUAAAGGGAAAGUGUUAAACCAAAAGAAAGAAAUUGCAACUUUAUUUUGAAAACCUUUAUUAACUCUGUGAAUUGUGCAUUUCAUUUGUUUUAUUUUAUUCUUUAAAAUCAUUCAGCUAUUAUUCUGUCUAUAUUAAUAAAUACCUGUAAAAGGAUUAUUUUUGCAUUUAAAGUACAGUUGUGGUGGUCAUUAUUUUAAAAGUAGUAAACAUUAUUAGAGGUAUACAUUCUAAAAGUAACAUAAAACAGUUGUAUUUUCCUACAACGAGCCCAGGCCCAGUCUCAUAGUAUUAACCACUCUAGCUUUAUUUUAACUACAUGGGACCUGGGUUACAUAAAAUGGAGGCACCGCUGGGAUUUUUUUUUACACAAACUGAGAUUUCUUGAAAUAAAUUAGACAAAAGUAACUUGACCCCACAACUUUAGUGUAUUAGUAUAAAAGUAACGUGCUAACACUAACUAACAGUGAUUAAAAUAAAGUACAGCAAUGGCAGUCCCGACAAGCAACCCAUCACAGCGUGAGCUAAUUAACUGGUGCAAAGGAGAAGCAGUAGACUUAAAGCAUGCUCUCUUGUUAUAUGGAGUGCCUGAAAGUGCAUCAAGAGCCGACAUUGAAGAUACAGCAGGGACCAUCAAAGCAUUGGGAAAAGUUGCAGUUAGAGGCAGAAUGUUUCACCCUCAACAAAAGUCGCUGAUGGUGUUAUGUGAGUGUCGUGAAGAGAUCGACCCCUCUAAAAUUCCACCUGAGCUAAUGCCUGUAAGUGGAGGAAGUGGUUGGAAAACUGUCUGCUACCAAGAGCCUCGGAUUGACAACUUUGAAGAGAAGUUGCUGACCUUUUUGCAGAGUGAAGGGAGAACCUUAGAGGACAUCCAAGGUCUAUGCCCUCCUACAGAGACCAAAGAGAGUAACAGCAACCCUGAAGACAUCAUCCGUGCAGUCGGUGAUGUCCUGAGUAGAACAAACAAGCAACCUGAUAGUCAGCCAUACAGACGUCUACGGACAUUCUCCGGGAUCAGUCCCACUCCCGCUGGAGAAGAGACCCUAGACAACUGGCUGGAGCAAGCAACACUCCUAGUAGAGGAAGGUGAUUGCUCAGACAAAGAGAAACGACGUCGGAUACUGGAAAGUCUCAAAGGGCCCGCCUUUGAAAUCAUUCAAGCUGUCCGCCUGACUCAACCUGAUGCUAGCCCACAUGAGUACAUGAAGGCUAUAGAGAGCAUUUUUGGUACAGUAGAGUCCCCAGAAGAACUAUACCUGUCAUUUAGAGCCCUGCACCAACAGCCUGGUGAACGUCUGUCCGAGUUCCUACGAAGAGUAGAGAGAUCCCUUGUCAAAGUAGUACAAGGAGGCGGUUUAUCUGUUAGCGCUGCCAACAGUGCUCGUUUAGAGCAGCUUCUCAGAGGGUCCACCUCUGAACUCAUGUUGCUGCAGUUGAAGAUUAGGGAGCGGAGUGGUAAUCCCCCUACAUUCUUGAACCUGUUAAGAGAAGUGAUCGAAGAGGAAGGUCGCCAGUCAGCUAGACAAAGUCAAGUGUCACACCGUCCCCAACGUGUACGCACCGUCCAAGCUGAAAAGGAGAAAGAACCUGAAUCGGUCUCUAGAAGUGAACUGCAAGCUCAGAUUCAAGAACUGAGAGCGCAGUUAGAACAGAGAAGCAACCUACAGCCUCAGUCACCACCUGAUGAGUCCUGUAAACGUCCUAAAGAGAAACAGAAACCGGAAAACGAGUCACAGAGUGAACUGCAAUCACUGCGAAAACAAGUGAAAGCCCUAGAGAGUAAAAUAAGUGUAAUGACAGUAAAAUACACAUCAGACCCCCCAAGAGAACACACAACCCAGCCCCACCGAUACAAAGCAGCUACGAGUCACAAGCCCACUCAGUCCAGAGUCUUCUCUCCCCGACAAGACAGUGAUGAGUUUUUCUGUUAUCGGUGUGGGGAAAAUGGCCACAUAGCCACCAGAUGUACAGCCCCUGAGAAUCUUCAAAAAGUCAUCAGAAAACUCAUACGCUUGGUGCGAGUUUCCCCUCUCCCCAGCAAAGAGAACCCAAAGCCUACAGGUGAAGAGCCGUAUGUAGCUAGAACCAAUAAGGUUGAAGUCCCAGAGAUCAACACUGACUUACCUGAAGGUCUUGUAGGUCCCUCAUUUAUUCACACCAUCAAAGUUAAUGAAGUGGUCUGUGAUGCCCUCAUCGACAGUGGUUCCAAUGUGACUAUCAUCUUUGAAAGCUGGUACCACCAACACUUACCUGAUGUCCCGAUAAAACCUCUUUCUGGCCUUGGACUAUGGGGCCUCGCUGACGCAGAGUAUCCUUACAAAGGAUACGUUGUUGUUGAGAUGGAGUUUGCAGAGGAGAUCACUGGAGUGUCGGGACAAGUAGAAGUGCUAGCCUUAAUUUGUCCUGAGCCAAGAAACCAACAACAGACCCCUGUGCUGGUUGGAACCAACACAUCUUUGUUCCGCCGCCUAUGGGAACUGGUGAAGACAAAAAGUGACAAGAACACUGUGCACUCAAUGAGGAUUCAGUCUGUUUAUGCCCCUGUUACAGCACAAGAGCAGUUAACAAAAAAUGACGUCUUGGGACAGAUAAAGUGGAAAGGACCCGGUUCACUCUCCAUUGCUCCAGGUGCAAAGUAUUAUGCAAAGUGCAAAGUGGAAAGACAGAGUGCCCCGUCCAAAGACCUUGUACUGAUUGAUGCACCCACUGCCCAGUUACUCCCCGCCGGUCUGCUGGUACAGCCUGGUGUGCUCUCAGACACCGACAUAGAUGACAACCGUUUCACUGUUCUCAUUCAGAAUGAGUCCAAAAAGACGACUUCCAUCCCAGUUGGGACCGUCGUAGCUGAGAUGUAUGCUGUGGACACAGUUACCCCCCUCCAGCCUUCUGAUCACACAGCUGAAACCAUAGACCCAAGUCUCUUCAGUUUCGGAGACUCCCCCAUUCCCGAAGAGUGGAAGAAACGUCUUCAGCAGAGGUUGGCUGAAAGGCGGAAUGUUUUCUCACUGCAUGAGUGGGAUGUUGGUCGCGCCCAGGGUGUUGAACACCACAUACGCCUGCAUGAUCCCAGACCCUUCAGGGAAAGGUCAAGGAGACUAGCCCCUGCAGACAUUGACGACGUGCGGCGGCACAUACAACAACUACUGGCCGCUGGCAUUAUCACCGAGUCUCGUAGCCCCUACGCCUCACCGAUCGUCGUAGUCCGCAAAAAGAACGGAAGCAUCAGAAUCUGUAUCGAUUACAGAACACUGAACAACCGCACUACACCAGAUCAGUACACAAUGCCACGCAUUGACGACGCCUUGGAUUCCCUAUCAGGCAGCCAAUGGUUCUCGGUUCUAGAUUUGCGCAGUGGCUAUUAUCAGAUAGAGAUGGCUCCGGAGGACAAAGAGAAAACCGCAUUCAUUUGCCCUCUCGGUUUCUUUCAAUUUGAGCGCAUGCCACAAGGAAUCACAGGAGCGCCUGCAACGUUUCAACGCUUAAUGGAAAAAGCUGUUGGCGAUAUGCAUCUCCUGGAAGCCCUCGUGUACUUGGAUGAUAUCAUCAUCUUCGGCAAGACACUUGAAGAGCAUGAGCAACGUCUUUUCAAAGUACUGGAUCGACUAGAGGAGGUCGGUUUGAAGAUUUCUAUUGACAAAUGUCAAUUCUGCCAGCCUGAAGUUAAGUAUGUGGGUCACAUCGUUUCCACCAAUGGAAUAGCUACUGAUCCAGACAAAGUGGAGGUAGUCAAGCAUUGGAAAGAGCCCACUCACCUGAAACCGCUGAAGUCCUUCCUUGGAUUCUGCAGUUAUUAUAGAAGAUUUAUUGCUAAUUAUUCUGCCAUUGUACGUCCUCUCUCCGAACUCACCAAGGGUUACGCCCCCACGUGGAAAGACCCCAAGUUCAAAAAGAGUGUCGACCCAAGCAAAGUCUACUUCAAGCCAUCAGACCCCUUCGGAGAGCGGUGGACUCAAGCCUGCCAGGACGCUUUUGAGCGUAUCCGUGACUGUCUGAUCAAUGCUCCAGUGUUAGCCUUCGCUGACCCCAUGAAGGAGUACAUUUUACAUGUGGACGCCAGUAUGAACGGCCUAGGCGCUGUCCUGAACCAGGAAUAUCCUGAUGGCCUCAGACCAGUAGCCUUCGCCAGUCGGAAGCUUAAAGACUCAGAACACAACUAUCCAGUCCAUCAAUUGGAAUUUCUGGCAUUAAAAUGGGCUGUAGUGGACAAAUUCCACGAUUACUUGUAUGGAGCCAAGUUUAUUGUUAGAACUGACAACAACCCGUUAACAUAUGUGUUAACCUCCGCCAAACUCAGCGCUGUUGGACAUCGUUGGCUCGCCGCCCUUGCCACUUAUGACUUCUCCAUCCAGUAUCGACCCGGCAGGCACAAUAUCGAUGCUGACUUGUUGUCACGCCAAUACACUCCAGAGGAGGAUAAAGAGUGGACUAGUGUUCCACCUGCUGGCAUCAAAGCCCUCUGCAAAAGAGUCUGCAUCAGUGAAGAGGCUAAUGAGCCAGACAGGUUAGUGGAUCAGCUGGGAGCUCCUGCUGCAGCGGUACCGGAAGCUUACGUGUUCCCAGUAAAUCUUAGCGUGAACGUGCUGGACCAACUAAGUCCUAAAGAUAUUCAGGUAGCACAAGACAUGGACCCAACAAUUGGACCAGUAAAGAAAGCAAUGGAAAAGAAUAAAGGACUGACUCGCUCAAAAAAUGACUCACCGGAGACUGUGUUGCUCCUACGCGAAAGCCGCAAAUUGGAGUUAAAUGAUGGAUUACUCUACAGAGUAAAGGAAAAAACAUGUGGAAAACAGAUCAAACAACUUGUCUUACCAGCAAGAUAUAGGCCAAUGGUGUUAAGGUCGCUACAUGAUGAGUGCGGACACAUGGGAAUGGAACGCACCACUGAACUGAUCAAGGACAGAUUUUAUUGGCCGCGGAUGACAGCUGAGGUCGAGCAGUACAUUCGAACCUGUGGUAGAUGUAUCUCCAGGAAGACACUCCCUCAGCAUGCUUCGCCCUUGAACCAGAUAACAAGUAAUGGCCCUUUAGAUUUAGUAUGUAUUGACUUCUUGCAGAUAGAGCCUGAUUCUAGAGGUGUUGCUAAUGUGUUAGUAGUGACAGACCAUUAUACACGUUAUGCACAAGCAUUCGCUACAAAAGAUCAAAAGGCUCUCACAGUGGCAAGAGUAUUGUGGGACAAAUAUUUUGUGCACUAUGGUUUACCUGCACGGAUACACUCGGAUCAAGGCCGAGACUUCGAAAGUCGUUUAAUCAAAGAACUCUUGUCCAUGCUUGGUGUACGGAAGUCAAGAACAUCCCCCUACCACCCUCAAGGGGACGCACAACCAGAGAGGUUCAAUCGAACACUCUUAGCGAUGCUUGGUACCCUGGACACUGUAAAGAAACAAUGUUGGAGUCAACAUAUCACCUAUCUGGUACAUGCAUACAAUUGCACAAAAAACGAUUCCACGGGAUACUCACCGUAUCAACUCAUGUUCGGAAGAGACGCCAGAUUACCCAUUGACAUCUGUUUUGGAAUCUCUCCAAAUGGUGAAAGUGAAACCUCCUACCAACAGUACGUCACUCGGAUGAGGAAAGACUUGCAAAAAGCUUACCAGUUAGCAUCUGAUGCUGCUUUAAAGAGUCACCUGAAAAACAAAGCACGUUUUGACCACCGUGUGAGAGACUUACCUUUGGAGAAAGGAGACAGAGUUCUCAUUCAGAAUGUUGGUCUAAAAGGCAAGCAUAAACUCCAAGAUCGAUGGAAAUCAACACCCUAUGUUGUUGUGGAGAAGUUGCCUAACCUGCCAGUUUAUAAGGUCAAACCAGAGCAUGGUACAGGUGUAUUGAAAACUCUUCAUCGAGAUCACCUGUUGCCUAUUGGUUACAUGGUCAGGAUGUCUAACCCAUCAGAUGACACAAACUCUGUUCAGAGACCUGUAACAAGAGCUCAACUUACCCGGAAACGUCAAACAAACAAGUCUGAAGAAAGUGCCUCAGAAUCAUCAGACUCAGAGUUUGAAACUGUACACAAUCCUCCAGAUAUUGAUGUAAAUGAAAUCAGGAGACAAUUGGAUGUGAGGAAUCAACGAUCUGUGGAGAAUGAAGAGAGUGAAAGUUCUGAAGAGAGUGAAAACUCAGAAGAGGAUGAAAAAUCUGAAGAGGAAAGCUGUGAAGAUACAGAAAAUCAACAACGUACAGAAACAGAGUAUGAGGAACCGCCUGAAGGUGAUGCACCUCCUUUGUCAGAUACUGAUGUCCAAGAGACAAACACUGAAUCUGUGGAAGAAGAUUCACAAGAAUCAGAAGAGGGAGAAAGUUCACCUCCAUCAAACAGAACCAGACAUGACAAAGCUGCUAAAAGCACUAGAAGUGAAAGUGACAGGUCUUCUACAGUCCGAAAAUCACUGAGAAAACCCAAGCCAUCUGUGAGAUUCACUUAUGAAAAACCUGGUCAGCCAUCUUGUGAACCAGUUACCAUCAUGCACCAUGGCAUGGUCAUUCAACUUAAGUUGAACCCUCCAGACAAAGAACACAGGAAAAAGUCCAAAACAUCCAAAAGGUACAUGGAUGAGGAGAAAAGGAAUCACCCUUCAAAGUUGAAGAGAGACAAGAGGUGUGAUGAGGACAUCUACACAUUCAGAAGAGGGAGGGUGUAGCCCUGUACAAAAAGUCAUAAGGUACAGAGCAUAAAAAGUAACAGUAUAUUAAUAGGUUGUAUUAAAAAGUUCAUAAAUAAAGAGUUCAUAAUAGUUAAAAAUGGUUUAAAAUGUGUGUUGGUUAAAAAGCAUAAAUAUAUGUACAGUUAAUAAAUAAGACUAGUUACAGUUAAAAGAUACAUUCAUAUAAAGGUCUUUAAGUUCAUUUUGAUUGUAAAAUAUCUGUGAUCAGAGAUAAAAGAGAAUAAGAAGCCGUGUUUGUGUAACCUAACCUGUCACUUGUUAUGUCAAUCAUUUCAUUCCUGUUUUACCUUUGGUUAUUUGGGAUCUCACGAGCCAAUUGGAGUCGCUGUGUAAGGGGCGGGACUAGUGGCACAGGUUAGUGUGGGGAGUAGUGCGCACAUGGAAAAGAGAGACGCUAUCGAUCAGAGCUAAAGAGAGGAGGCAUCGUUCGUGUGGGAAGCAUUUAAGUUUAAUCCUGGAGGUCGACUACCCGUGGUCCUGAUAUAAACUUCUGUGUGACCUGCAAGAGGGAGACGGACGUUGGAGAGAGAGAGAGAGAGACGGAUUUCCAACCGAUGACCCUGCUGUACUCUGCUGUACUCUGCUGUACUGUGCUGUACUCUGCUGUACUGUGCUGUACGAUACUGUCGUGCUAUUCUGCGUUUGGAUGCGUCGGGAAGAGCCCUGCUGCUGCUGUAUCUUUUCUUGUGACUUCGCCAUUGCCUCGUGUGUGAUCGGAUUCCCACCCGCCAUUUUCAUUAUCACCGUGAGACUUUUUCAUCCACAUUCUGCCCUACUAACAAACCCCUGGAUUCGUGAGUACUAACAUACACAUGCACGUGCUUUUAUUUUGUGCUCAGCUUUGAGUGAAGCGGCCAUUACAGUUUUUAGGCCACACCGCACACGAGCUUCAAUAAACAGGCCUGCAACGGGUUAAAAGCUCUUUUAAGUGGGUUUCAUCUGAAUGUGUGUG